This is a long non-coding RNA of Cucurbita moschata (crookneck pumpkin), 899 nucleotides long. RefSeq lists it as uncharacterized. The transcript is spliced from 2 exons. NCBI's taxonomy places the organism in Eukaryota, Viridiplantae, Streptophyta, Magnoliopsida, Cucurbitales, Cucurbitaceae. The record is from RefSeq and is a predicted model, not a curated record.
UCCAUUUAUAGAAGACGACGAAAUUAGGUUCCAGAAGUUUCCAUUUUCUUUGGCAAUAAAAAAAGAAAACGCGAGGAAUUUGUCUUCAAUUCAAACUCCUUCCAGAUCUCAUCUUUGAUCAACAACGAUUUAGCUGUUUAAUUUGAUCUCACGCCACAGGUAAUUCAAAUUCAUUCCGGAGAUUUCUUCUGACCUUAAUUCUUCCUUUAUUCCGUAGGCUCAAGAUCAUCAUUUUGCUCGAAUUUAACUUCACAAUCCAAGGAGUUCGAACGAUUUCUUGAAUUCGAUGCAGGAGCAACGUCUUCCCUACGGCUGCGCCUUCAGAUAAGUUUAAUUUCCAUGGCGCCUAGUGGAAUGUUCUAUGUUUUUUAGUUUAGAAUUUCAUUGAAGGUCUGGUUUUAAAUCUUGAAUUGGCUUGGGGAAACUGAAUGAAUUGGGGUGUAGUUACAAAUCUGAAUCUGCUUUUAAGUUGGGAUUACGUGUUCUUCAUAUGAGUGAAUAUGAAUUUAUUACCAUUUUAAGAAAAUACAUCGUCUUAUCUCUGGAGUAAAAUUAGGUUAUAUUGUUGUUUGAGCAAUAAAAUUAAGAAAGCUUUGUUGUAGAUUCAAUCCUUACUCAAAAUGGCACCUACAGGUCACAAGCUUGAAUGCUUCACAAUGUCUGAAGUUGUUGAAAGAUGACAACCUUGGAAUAUCAAACAUCCCGAACAGAAAUGUCAAAAUCGAAAGAGCAAGCGCAGGAAAACUUAGAGGGAAAGAUAUAAUGAAAAUCACACUUUUUAUAAGUUUAUUGUCAUCUGAAGUAUUACACUCUGCUGUACACACGGUUGUUCUUCCUCGGGAAAUGCAAAUAAAAGGAAAACUAAAUUGCAGACCACCUAACUUCUCUCCUGAAAAAAA